UACGUAGGUGGCAAGCGUUGUCCGGAUUUACUGGGCGUAAAGAGCGCGCAGGCGGUCUUUUAAGUCGAAUGUGAAAGCCCCCGGCUCAACUGGGGAGGGUCAUUCGAUACUGAUCGACUUGAAGGCAGGAGAGGGAAGUGGAAUUCCGGGUGUAGUGGUGAAAUGCGUAGAUAUCAGGAGGAACACCUGUGGCGAAAGCGGCUCACUGGACCACAACUGACGCUGAUGCACGAAAGCUAGGGGAGCAAACAGG
RNAcentral lists this ribosomal RNA (253 nucleotides) under uncultured bacterium. RNAcentral's name for it is "partial 16S ribosomal RNA". It matches the Rfam family "Bacterial small subunit ribosomal RNA", at positions 524 to 776 of the family's 1533-position model. The record is from RNAcentral.